CUAGUCAUGAUGUCACCAAGUUUACUAUUGUUUUGGUCCUUUACAGUUUCAUACAUUCAUAGGGUUCUAUGUCCACAUUCUAAUGUUCAUGUGUAAGAUCUGGUCCUCUUUUAGAGGAUUCAAUAACUGACAAUACUACAAUUUAACUUCUAACUAGCUCUUUAUGCUAGUUUCACAAUUUCACUGUUUAUCUCACAAUGCUAUCCAAUUCUCUAGUAGAAUGUCACCAAGUUCACUAUUGUCAAAGUCCAUGCAUUCAUAGGGUUCUAUGUCCACAAUCUAGGUUCACAAAUUCUUAUUGUUGAUAGGAAUUCACAUUUUCACUCGCUCAAUGCCAAACACCCUAUAAUGCAUGACUACAAAUAUAAAUAUGCUCAACGGAGAAUUAUAGACAUAAAAGGUGAUUCAAAGAGUUCGGAUAGCACCACCCACCUGUAGUGGUGUCAAUCAACUAGAAUCCACAUCUCGGAAAGCGUCGACGACUAUCUCUCGCGACUCCCUGCAAAUAGGACUAGAGUGGUCUCCACCGUAAUUAGCGCGUCGCCGACCUGUCGGAAAGUCAAUUUAGACUCUUGGGCAUGUUUACUUUUCACUUAUAAAGGAUUAGAAAAGAUUAAACUAGAGUCAAUACUCAUAAUUGACAAGUUAGCAUUUCAAUGCUAUAUAAAGCGGCAACUAUAGCCGAAAACCUUCUUUUGGCGAUAUCUUUGCGUAGGUUCGUCGGAUUGCCGAAUCGACUUCGCAAACGCGUUUCUUUUACCCCCAAUUAGCUUUGUACGCGGUCAAUUUCGCGAUAGGGCUUCUAUCCUGCAAAAGUGCAUUACCGGGGUCAAUUUCUAUAAAAACCCCUUUUCAAUGUAAUUUUCACAAUUACAUAGCGUAAUUCAACCCUUAUUAGCCCACGAACCUCAAAACAAUGAGGAAAAACUGUCCAAAUACUUUGAUCCCAUUUUUCUCUCUUUCAUUUCCUUUCUUUCAUUUUUCUUCUCUUUCUUUCUUUCUUUCUUUUCUUUUCCUUUCUUUCUUUCUUUUCUUUUCUUCCUUUCUUUCCCUGCAGCAGCUUCUACUGCUGUUCCUGCUGAAGCUGCUGCUGCUGCUGCUGC
Molecule: long non-coding RNA, 1103 nt
Filed under: Ananas comosus (pineapple)
Lineage: Eukaryota; Viridiplantae; Streptophyta; Magnoliopsida; Poales; Bromeliaceae
Description: long non-coding RNA (ACOM_LNC034808)
Source: RNAcentral